Long non-coding RNA from Malaclemys terrapin pileata, 1991 nucleotides. RefSeq lists it as uncharacterized. Lineage: Eukaryota; Metazoa; Chordata; Testudines; Emydidae. The record is from RefSeq and is a predicted model, not a curated record. The transcript has 5 exons.
UCUGAACAAACAGGGUGAGAAAAGAUAAGGGUGACAAUGCUAUCACAUGGUGAGGCGCUGCAGAGUAGCCAUCUGUAAAAGGAAUUGACAAGGUUAUGCUGCACUCUUGUAACUGAUCCCUGAGUCCGAAACUGGCUGUCCCUAUCGAGACUGGACAGGGAGCAGACUGGAAGCAAAUCUCUGUGUGGGUGCUCAUUCGGUCAUUCCUGUGCUACACUCACGAUGUGCGUAUAAGCAGCUUGAUGAUCCUUCCUGAAUGAGGGCACUAGGGACCAUGGCAUGAGAAUGCUAUUGCAAGAAGACAUUAACUCAUCCUCACAAGUUGCUUGUAAGCAGGUUUUCUGCUGAUGGGAUAAACUGUCACCUCUCUGUAUCCAGAGAUGAGAACAACAGCAAAGUAAGGAUUGAAAGACACAAGGAAUGACUUUUUACUGGAGCAGAAAGCAUCCUGUAUUUUAAAGGGAUCCGGAAACUGUCCUUAAUUUGAAGUCAUCUUCAUUCCAGGACUAGUCCCUAGAAGAGGUGACAGUGAAUGGAUGCACUAUUCAGACUAAGCCCCACCAACCAGAACUUCAGUGCCCUGUGCAGCUUGGAUUAAUUGACGGCCCCAACACUGACCAGUGGCUCUCACACAGGGUCCAGUGGUGAUGGCUUAGUCACCGUUGAGAAUGCUGAGAACUGAAUAACACCCCUACCUGCCCUGGCAUCUAGAGUAACACAGCGUCACUGCUCUGAUGUGCACAAUGUCUCCGAGGAAGGCAUCUUGUGCCUCUGCCAGCCAGCCAAACAGCACCUGGGGGCUGUUGGCUCGGCCAUGGAAGUAAUGCUGUAAAUUGAACCCUGCCAUCUUGUGGCAGUUUGGCAAGAGACAGCAAGAAGAAAAGCCAGUCAGGUGGCCAUGCUGCUCCAAGGCUUGCGGACUUUAAAGAAGCUUCCAAAGGAUGAUUAUUGUCUUGAAAAUGAGUAUAGCACCGCUGCCAAUUUGUGGUCCCAGAGGCUGUCACUAUGUUGCGCACUAUGGCCAGUUUCACAGUGACAGUGGGAAUAGAACUUGCAUCCUCCUCCUCCGAAAGGUCAAACACCUAUUACUGUGGUUGGAAGAGACUCUCCAUUAGCUUUGGAGACAAUGACAUACAGUUGAGCUGCUUUAAUUAUAUCCACUAACGGGCUGUGUGCACUAGACGGUAUAUUACAGUCUUGCUACUUUUUAUCCCUAGCAACUAUUUCCCCUUUGAACUUUCUGAACUGUUUUGGGAAAUGGCUUACCCUGAUUUGGUUUUGAGUCUUCAUUGGCUAUCCACCCUCGACCCGAAAGAGACAGUUUCACUGGCUAUGGCUUGGAUUGGUAAGCACUUACUUGCAUACGUAUGUGCUGCUCGUGCUCAUUAAAGCAUUCACAAUCUGUCUCUAUGAUGCUAUUGAUCGGGAAGAAAAUCCCAUUGCCAAGUUGCAAACAGAGGGCUGCAGAAGCCCGGCACAAAUAAGACAUCUCUGUGUGUUGUGGAACACUGUUUUUAGACUCUUAACACUGAUAGUACAGGAAACAUCUGGCUACCGCUGAAGCGAGAAUUUACACGGCUUCUGAGCACUAGUCAGGGUUCUGGAAGGGGGCUGAUGGUACCACAGCAUGUGUGUUAUUACAUACUCGCUGAAAUAUUCAAGAACAACUCAAAGGGCCGAUUGAACAGCAGACCACCAAACCACUACUGAAAAGAAAGGUGUUUGGUUAGAGAAACCACAUGAAGGACCCUGGACUCAGCCCAAGAUGCUUGUGCUUGAAAACAUGUUUGUGUUUAUUUCUUUGGCUGUUUGCUACUGGUUGAAUUUUAAGGUUUCGUUUACCAGAAAUUAAAAAAAAAAAUGCCCCCCACAGUUCAAUGUGAGCUUCAUUUCCACAAAGAUGGGAGGGCUCCCACAAAAACAGAAUGGCUGCAGUUUUACAAAGCGAUGGGCAAUUUCUCUGGAUAGUGCACUUCAGCUGGAACCGUUCU